Molecule: ribosomal RNA, 358 nt
Filed under: uncultured bacterium
Lineage: Bacteria
Description: bacterial SSU rRNA
Rfam family: Bacterial small subunit ribosomal RNA
Source: RNAcentral
UGACCGGCCACACUGGGACUGAGACACGGCCCAGACUCCUACGGGAGGCAGCAGUGGGGAAUAUUGCACAAUGGACGAAAGCCUGAUGCAGCAACGCCGCGUGAGGGACGAAGGCCUUCGGGUUGUAAACCUCUUUUAGCAGGGAAGAAGCGAAAGUGACGGUACCUGCAGAAAAAGCACCGGCUAACUACGUGCCAGCAGCCGCGGUAAUACGUAGGGUGCAAGCGUUGUCCGGAAUUAUUGGGCGUAAAGAGCUCGUAGGCGGUUUGUCGCGUCUGCUGUGAAAAUCCGAGGCUCAACCUCGAACCUGCAGUGGGUACGGGCAAGCUAGAGUGCGGUAGGGGAGAUGGGAAUUCCU